This is a non-coding RNA of Heterocephalus glaber (naked mole-rat), 582 nucleotides long. The record is from RefSeq and is a predicted model, not a curated record. NCBI's taxonomy places the organism in Eukaryota, Metazoa, Chordata, Mammalia, Rodentia, Bathyergidae.
GGAGAGGGGCGUGGCGAGGCUUGGGGGCGUGGCAGAAGAAUUUCCAAGAUGCCGACGCAGAUCUGAAACUUGAGACCUUCUUGCCUCAUUUUCCUAGAACCUGGGAUUACACUGCUCCUGAAAUGGACCGCGGGUUUCAACUGAAGGAGUUAAGAAACGACAUGUUGUUGUUGUGGCAUUCUGACUACUGACUACUGAACAGCACACUUGAUUAUGAAUUACGGGCACAUGAGAAACGGCAAGGGCAAGAUGACUCUGAUCUUCCUUAUCAUUCAUCAAGGAUAAAACAUUGACUCGGAAGGAAACUACUAACAAACCUAGUUAAACCACCUAGCCACUUUCCCCCAUUAACUACCCUACUCCAAGUCCCUCUGCGCUGUCAUAUUUUCACAAUUUACUACUCUGUCUAGCUGGCAUAUGUGUAUGUCUGUGUCUGUGUCCUGUGCCACAUACAGCUUGUACUAAGUAAAUGCUUAUGCUUUUCUCAUGCUGAUAUUCCUUGUGUCAAUUUAAUUUUCAGACAGAAUUGAAAAAAAACACUAAGAGGACAGAAGUAAAAUUUUGCCUAACCUACAAAAUGUC